RNAcentral lists this small RNA (2647 nucleotides) under Pan troglodytes (chimpanzee). Its description in RNAcentral is "processed transcript". The record is from RNAcentral. Lineage: Eukaryota; Metazoa; Chordata; Mammalia; Primates; Hominidae.
AGGAAUAAAACCACAGAAGAAAAUGGAGAGAAGGGGACUGAAAUAUUCAGAGCUUCUGCAGUGAUUCCCAGCAAGGACAAAGCCGCCUUUUUCCUGAGUUAUGAGGAGCUUCUGCAGAGGCGCCUGGGCAAGUACGAGCACAGCAUCAGCGUGCGGCCCCAGCAGCUGUCCGGGAGGCUGAGCGUGGACGUGAAUAUCCUGGAGAGCGCGGGCAUCGCAUCCCUGGAGGUGCUGCCGCUUCACAACAGCAGGCAGAGGGGCAGUGGGCGCGGGGAAGAUGAUUCUGGGCCUCCCCCAUCUACUGUCAUUAACCAAAAUGAAACAUUUGCCAACAUCAUUUUUAAACCUACUGUAGUACAACAAGCCAGGAUUGCCCAGAAUGGAAUUUUGGGAGACUUUAUCAUUAGAUAUGACGUCAAUAGAGAACAGAGCAUUGGGGACAUCCAGGUUCUAAAUGGCUAUUUUGUGCACUACUUUGCUCCUAAAGACCUUCCUCCUUUACCCAAGAAUGUGGUAUUCGUGCUUGACAGCAGUGCUUCUAUGGUGGGAACCAAACUCCGGCAGACCAAGGAUGCCCUCUUCACAAUUCUUCAUGACCUCCGACCCCAGGACCGUUUCAGUAUCAUUGGAUUUUCCAACCGGAUCAAAGUAUGGAAGGACCACUUGAUAUCAGUCACUCCAGACAGCAUCAGGGAUGGGAAAGUGUACAUUCACCAUAUGUCACCCACUGGAGGCACAGACAUCAACGGGGCCCUGCAGAGGGCCAUCAGGCUCCUCAACAAGUACGUGGCCCACAGUGGCAUUGGAGACCGGAGCGUGUCCCUCAUCGUCUUCCUGACGGAUGGGAAGCCCACGGUCGGGGAGACGCACACCCUCAAGAUCCUCAACAACACCCGAGAGGCUGCCCGAGGCCAAGUCUGCAUCUUCACCAUUGGCAUCGGCAACGACGUGGACUUCAGGCUGCUGGAGAAACUGUCGCUGGAGAACUGCGGCCUCACACGGCGCGUGCACGAGGAGGAGGACGCAGGCUCACAGCUCAUCGGGUUCUACGAUGAAAUCAGGACCCCGCUCCUCUCUGACAUCCGCAUCGAUUAUCCCCCCAGCUCAGUGGUGCAGGCCACCAAGACCCUGUUCCCCAACUACUUCAACGGCUCCGAGAUCAUCAUUGCGGGGAAGCUGGUGGACAGGAAGCUGGAUCACCUGCACGUGGAGGUCACCGCCAGCAACAGUAAGAAAUUCAUCAUCCUGAAGACAGAUGUGCCUGUGGGGCCUCAGAAGGCAGGGAAAGAUGUCACAGGAAGCCCCAGGCCUGGAGGCGAUGGAGAGGGGGACCCCAACCACAUCGAGCGUCUCUGGAGCUACCUCACCACAAAGGAGCUGCUGAGCUCCUGGCUGCAAAGUGACGAUGAACCGGAGAAGGAGCGGCUGCGGCAGCGGGCCCAGGCCCUGGCUGUGAGCUACCGCUUCCUCACUCCCUUCACCUCCAUGAAGCUGAGGGGGCCGGUCCCACGCAUGGACGGCCUGGAGGAGGCCCACGGCAUGUCGGCUGCCAUGGGACCCGAACCGGUGGUGCAGAGUGUGCGAGGAGCUGGCACGCAGCCAGGACCUUUGCUCAAGAAGCCAUACCAGCCAAGAAUUAAAAUCUCUAAAACAUCAGUUCGUGGCUUCAGAAGGGAAGAACAGAUUUUUUCAAAUGUCAUGAAAUUUCCUUUUGCCAGCAUCCUGGAACUAUAAUAAAAAUUCAGAGGAAAGAACAACCUAUGACGGUUUUGUUCUGCUGUGUCCAGAUCAUCCUCUGGAAGUCUUGAUUGUUGCCUUUCUGCUGCUGUGCUGUACGUGCAAGUUCCUAAAGCCAGGGACAUCCCGGAGAUGAGCUGUGGAUAUAAAGUCCGCACAGCCUGCGGGAGACAGAAUGUAAUUCCUUCCAACACACAUACAGGCUUUAUGGAAUGCCAGAAAAGCUUCCUCUUGGAUGCUGCCUGGAGUAAUGACUUUUUGACCCUCCCCUCUUUUUUGGAGCAAGCACUAUAUUUCCUUGUAAAGAAAUUUGGACAAUUUGAGUAGAAAUGGUGUGGUAUGUGCACAUAGAAACUCUCAGAAAACUGUCAGAUGAGCUAGACAGUUGUCCUCUAUCUCCAUGGGUCCCACGUCCCAAGGAUCGAACCAACAACAGAUCAAAAAUACGUGAAAAAGGAAUUGCAUCUGUAUUGAAUGUGUACGGACUUUCUUUCUUGUCUUUGUUCCUUAAACAAUGUAGUGUAACAACUAUUUACGUCGCAUCUCCUUUGCAUUCAUUAUUAUAAGUAAACUAGAGAUGAUUUAAAGUGUAUAGAAAGGCUGUGUGCAGUGGCUAACGUCUGUAAUCCCAGCACUUUGAGAGGCCAAGGCAGGUGGAUCACCUGAGGUCAGGAGUUCGAGACCAGCCUGGCCAACAUGGUGAAACCCCAUCUCUACUAAAAAUACAAUAAUUAGCUGGGCAUAGUGGUGCACGCCUGUAAUCCCAGCUAUUCAGGAGGCUGAGGCAGGAGAAUCGCUUGAACCCAGGAGGCAGAGAUUGCAGUGAACCGAGAUUGCACCAUUGCACUCCAGCCUGGGCGACAGAGUGAACCUCCGUCUCAAAAACAAAAUAAAUAAAUAAAAACAAAUU